UCUGGUGCCAGCAGCCGCGGUAACUCCAGCUCCAAUAGCGUAUAUUAAAGUUGUUGCGGUUAAAAAGCUCGUAGUUGAAUCUGUGUCCCACACUGUCGGUUCACCGCUCGCGGUGUUCAACUGGCACGUCUGUGGGACGUCCUACCGGUGGGCUUAGCCCGUCAAAAGGCGGCCCAACUCAAAAUCCUACCACGGUGCUCUUCACCGAGUGUCGAGGUGGGCCGGUACGUUUACUUUGAACAAAUUAGAGUGCUUAAAGCAGGCUCAUUCGCCUGAAUAUUCUGUGCAUGGAAUAAUGGAAUAGGACCUCGGUUCUAUUUUGUUGGUUUUCGGAACUCCGAGGUAAUGAUUAAUUGGGACAACUGGGGGCAUUCGUAUUGCGACGUUAGAGGUGAAAUUCUUGGAUCGUCGCAAGACGGACAGAAGCGAAAGAAAUGUGUUUUCAUCAAUCAAGAACGAAAGUUAGAGGUUCGAAGGCGAUCAGAUACCGCCCUAGUUCUAACCAUAAACGAUGCCAGCUAGCGAUCCGCCGAAGUUCCUCCGAUGACUCGGCGGGCAGCUUCCGGGAAACCAAAGCUUUUGGGUUCCGGGGGAAGUAUGGUUGCAAAGCUGAAACUUAAAGGAAUUGACGGAAGGGCACCACC
RNAcentral lists this ribosomal RNA (644 nucleotides) under Lentistivalius occidentayunnanus. RNAcentral describes it as "SSU rRNA". It matches the Rfam family "Eukaryotic small subunit ribosomal RNA", at positions 560 to 1171 of the family's 1831-position model. Lineage: Eukaryota; Metazoa; Arthropoda; Insecta; Siphonaptera; Stivaliidae. The record is from RNAcentral.